GUGAAUCAUCGAAUUUUUGAACGCAAAUUGCACUUUCUGGUAUUCCGGAGAGUAUGCCUGUUUGAGGGUCAGUAAAAUAAUAAACGGAGUUAUUGCUGGGAAUGGUGAUGCAUCGGGAUUGAGUCGUCUUUACCUUUGGUUUUAAGUGAAGUAAAAUUAUGAAAAAUUUUUUAACGUAUUUAAAUUAUUUACUUACGUUCAUGAUAUCAU
Molecule: unclassified non-coding RNA, 210 nt
Filed under: Glomeraceae sp.
Lineage: Eukaryota; Fungi; Glomeromycota; Glomeromycetes; Glomerales; Glomeraceae
Description: partial contains 5.8S ribosomal RNA and internal transcribed spacer 2
Rfam family: 5.8S ribosomal RNA (bases 1-71)
Source: RNAcentral